RNAcentral lists this ribosomal RNA (301 nucleotides) under uncultured bacterium. Its description in RNAcentral is "partial 16S ribosomal RNA". It matches the Rfam family "Bacterial small subunit ribosomal RNA", at positions 509 to 807 of the family's 1533-position model. The record is from RNAcentral.
CAGCCGCCGCGGUAAUACAGAGGGUGCAAGCGUUAAUCGGAUUUACUGGGCGUAAAGCGUGCGUAGGUGGCUGUUUAAGUCGGAUGUGAAAGCCCUGGGCUUAACCUGGGAACUGCAUUCGAUACCGGAUAGCUAGAGAUCGGUAGAGGGCAGCGGAAUUCCGGGUGUAGCGGUGAAAUGCGUAGAUAUCCGGAGGAACACCGAUGACGAAGGCAACUGCCUGGGCCUGAUCUGACACUGAGGCACGAAAGCGUGGGUAGCAAACAGGAUUAGAUACCCCAGUAGUCCCUGUCUCUUAUAC